CAACAACAGACUCGGUGAAAUUGUAAUUCCGGUGAAGAUGCCGGAUACCUGCGACAGGACGGAAAGACCCCAUGGAGCUUUACUGUAGCUUGACAUUGGGUCUUGGUACUACAUGUACAGGAUAGGUGGGAGGCUUUGAAACCAGGACGCCAGUUUUGGCGGAGCCAUCCUUGGGAUACCACCCUUGUAGUACUGGGACUCUAACCAUAGGCCAUGAAUCUGGUCUUGGGACACUGUCAGGUGGGCAGCUUGACUGGGGCGGUCGCCUCCCAAAAGGUAACGGAGGCGCUCAAAGGUUCUCUCAGUACGGUCGGAAAUCGUACGUAGAGUGUAAAGGCAAAAGAGAGCUUGAUUGCAAGACAUACAGGUCGAGCAA
RNAcentral lists this ribosomal RNA (376 nucleotides) under Clostridioides difficile. RNAcentral's name for it is "partial 23S ribosomal RNA". It matches the Rfam family "Bacterial large subunit ribosomal RNA", at positions 2022 to 2396 of the family's 2925-position model. Lineage: Bacteria; Bacillati; Bacillota; Clostridia; Peptostreptococcales; Peptostreptococcaceae. The record is from RNAcentral.